CUCCCCUGUUUGCGCUCUCUCUCUCUCAAAAUAAAUGUUAAAAAAAAUACAUAGAUUCUUAAUUAUGGACAACUAUGUAAAACAGGGAAAUGCAUUUGCUACUUCACAAAUUGACUCUGGACCCCUGUCCUGUAACUAAAAGGCAGACAUUCCAAAAUGUGCAUAUGAUUAUACUCCAAAAGUUCACAUGAGAGUUUCUCUUAUGCACAGUGAUUGGCUCGUGAAGUCGACAUAAAUGAGCCCAUAUAGUUUACCAGGAAUCUGGAAGUCCAAAUUGGGCAGGGUGGUGGCGUGGUUGACGAGGAACCAGGGAGGUGGGUGGGGCAGAGCAGGUGCCGCGGGAGUGUCACCAGGGAGAGCUAGCUGCCUGCCAGGGGCCCUCUCGUCCUUCCUGACAGUGCUACUUGAGUUUGCUUGGGUCAGUAACGUGCCUACCCCGGGUGAGACACUCGCUUUCCAUCCUCCUUGGUACCUGGGUGGACCAGACAGUCUAGGUCUUGCUGAUGAGAGAUGAGAGGAAACUAGAAGGGAGGAAGGAGAAACCAGAGCUGGGGCGAUCCCUUACCCAUGUUUUCGUGCACAAAUGUGGUCCCGCUACAGCUAUGAGUGGAGCUGUCCUGCCGUGCGGGACGCCCCUGACAUUAGUGAGCCCCUAAACUAACACCAGGCAGUAUCUACCUCCAGAUUCCUCGUUAGAGGAGAAAUAUAUGCGCUGACUCAGUCGCUGUUAUCAAACAUUCUCUUUCCUGCCUCUGACAGCAUCUUACCCAAUGCCAGUCCAGGAUGGAUGCUGUCUCUCCUCUUUUCUCUUUUUGUUCCUUCUUUUUCCUCUUCUCCUCAACAAGGUGUGUGUCUGUGUGUGUGUGUGUGUACGCACGCACCUGCAUGUGAGUGUCAUAUGAGCCUGCACAUGGGUGGGUGAGCGUGCACAGGCACACCAGGUUAGGUGGCGGAUGUGGGAGAAAGUGGGAAGUGCGUUGUUGCAUGCCCUUGUAGCUUACCUAUAACAACACUUUUUCUUUUUUUUUGAGAGAAGGGAAAAUACUCGCAUGGGAACCUAUUCGGAAUUGGCAGUGUCUGCCGUGUUAAUGGGGUAAAGUGGAGGGAAAUAAAAUUACCCCAUGAAUAAAACUACCCCAUGAGGAAAGUCAUGUCUACAAAAGAGAAAUGUCAUAUUGGGCCUAAACAGCUCAGCGGCCUGCCUGUUAAAAAACAGUUUGCGAUCUAGAGAUACUCUCUUUCCCAAGGAAUUUUAGAGAUAUAAGGAGCAGUAGACAGGAGACAGUUUAUUUGCCAUUCACUGCACGAGACAGGGGCAUCUCCCCACUGAGGCUGGAAGAGGCAGCACCCACAAGGAAUUGAAAUUCAGAAGAAUCAGGCUCCUUCCCAGUGAAGACGAAAGCAGGUCUCUGUGCAGGGAGCAGCCCGCCGUCUGGCCUGCAGGUUUCCAGAGUGAGCGGGCCAGAUGGCCAGUGCCUCUCCAAGGUCAUGGGGGACUGAUUAGUUCUCUGCUCCUCGUAGGCUGGCCCUUCACACAACUCAGAAGCCAUAAGACAAUUCCCCCUGGUGGCGGAGAAAGGCGCUAGAAACCACCUCCCUGCCCAGCUACCUCUUCGAGGACAUGAUUGAAAAGAUCAACGUUAAAUACCUUUCACAGAAAAAAAGUCAAUGAACACGAAUUAUUUUCUUGAAUGGGACUUCAACAUUCAUGGCUGAGGGAAUCCUCAUUUGCCACGGGACACCUCGGAUCUUAGAUCUGCAUUUUCUAGAAACGUCUUUAUGAAAAGCGGGCAAGUGCAUGCACACUUGUUUUAAAAUGUUGCAGGAAAGACGUCCCCUUUUUAUCUCAAUUUCCCAAUGUAGGAUAUUGUGAGAGAAGGGAACCGUCCCUCCAGCUCUGUUUCCAAUGCAAAUCGGCAAAGCAGCCUUGUUUCAGAGGAAAAGAACCAAGGCAGAGGGUUGACAUUUUCCCUGAAAAGUAGAAGCCAUGACCUCAUUGUGAAGUAUUUCAUCUUACAAUUUUUUUCCAUAUCCCUUUAACGCUUGUUAAAGAAACCCCACAAAACUUACACUAUGUCCUCAUAAAAUCCAUGGGUACUAAGAUCAAAUGAAUCACUUUUCACGUAAAAUCCUGUGAUUUUUAUUAUAGCAAGUGAAGAACAUAGAGAAUGAGCACCAAACAACACGUUUUUCUAAAUGCACCCAGCCUGAUUCUCUAUUUCGGAUCUCCCAAGGUAUUAGUAACCAGUUUUUAAUGUUCCGACCACUCGUUCUUUCCCCUCCCCCACUGUUUCCAGUGUUGCCAAGGAGACUCCUGACUCCACCACCAAGGUGCCCCCACAGUCCUCUUCCUUGUCCUUUCCAAAACCUGUCCAUCUUAUGCUCAGUUUUGUUAGGACUGGUGGUAGGAGUUCAAAUGUUUGUUGAUGGACUGAGUAGUCAAAAUACUAAUUGGGAUAUUAUCUUCACGACUGACCAUGCUUCCACGUGUGAUUCAUACCAAAUAAUACACAUGCAUUUUCACAAGGGCCUUUAAUGCUUGAUGUCACAAAGGCACGCACGGAACGUCAAAUGUGGGCAGGAACAGAGUGAGUCCUAGUUAUCGGUAGAACCUACGGUGACCCUGAGAGCAUGACGUGGACACGGGCUCAUAUACUGGUUGAGGGGUGGCCUUGUAAGGCAGAGGCCUGUGGAGACCACACGAGGCUGCUGACCUGCCACCAGCCUGGCGGGAUAUCCGGAAUAUUACUUUGAAGGGGACGACGUCCUCUGUUUCUGGAAGGGUGAGGUCUCAGGCUAGCCCUGCAAUGAGAGACUGAGAGAAGAGCUGAAGAUAGGCUGUGUGGGGAUUUUUCAGACGCACCCAUUUGCUCCCAACCUGCAGUCAAAACGCGGGAAGAACAUGGCACCACCUCAGCUCACAGUGUGCCUGGUUCCAAGCAGCACUGCUGAUCGCGCUAAGCGGGGAACGUUCUGAUUCUAAUAAAACCUCUUUUGGCUUC
Molecule: long non-coding RNA, 3002 nt
Organism: Felis catus (domestic cat)
Lineage: Eukaryota; Metazoa; Chordata; Mammalia; Carnivora; Felidae
Exons: 2
Source: RefSeq, a predicted model, not a curated record